GCAACCCGGCUGCCUUCCCAGUCCCCGCCUCCUGCGGAUUCCUUCUGGGGUUUUGGGAAUGGCUGGCCCAGCCCACACCCUGCACCCAGCCCGCCUGGAAGCUCGGAAACCCAGAGGCUCCCACAAGCCGGUGCUGGGACCCUUCUCCAAGACCACCCGACACCGCGGCACACCCGGCCACCCUGGCAUCUGGGCGGGUGCUGGGUCACGCCAUCCGUUAAGGUCAUGGGAAGCCGGUCGGGAGGGUCUGAAAUGGGCUGAGAGGGCCCACCGCAGGGCCCGGGCCUCCCGUCCCGUCUUCCUAAGGCCACGGCGAGGGAAGUGCCAAGGACCAAGGGCUCCCAGACGAGGCCCAUGGGGCGCCCGCAGCCGCCUUCCGAGGCGGAGGCCGCAAGCCCCCGUUUUCAAGACAAAGCUGAGGCCUUGCAAUAAGAAUAUGAGGCUGGAGACGUGAAAUCACUUGCCCUGGAUCAACACGGCCCCAAAUCAAAGACGACUCGGUCUGAACUCGGACUUUGGGCCCCAGGGCCAGUGCUCUUCCGAACACAGGUGCCACGGCACGCAGCGGGCAUGGGAACAGCAGCAGGGAGUGCCGCUGCUACUGUUACCGCCAUCACCACGCCCACGGCUGCUUAGAGACUCUGUGGCCCAAAGGCGGGGGCCGUUUCACGUGGCCUCAUCUUUUAGAGCCCCCAGACCUGGGCCAUAUCCCUGCUAGGGAGGCAGGAGUCAAUAGGCUCAAAGACCAGAAUUGGAAAAGAAGAUGUGGUUUAAAACUGCCAGACAGCAGAGCAGGCUCCCAAGCAGCUCUGGUGAAUUUCAUCAACUUUUUACUUUUCCUAUUGUUUGCUAACAUCUCCGCCAACAGGUACAUCCCUUAAAGCACACAAGCUGCAACAAAGCGCUUCUAUGAACAAAUGGAUGCGGUGGCUGGAGCUCGCAGGAGGCAACACAGGGGGCGCACCCUUCCCUCCUCCCGGCCACCGCCACUGAGGCAGGAACGUGGGAACGUGGUCUCAGCCGGCGAGGAACUGCAGAGCCUGAAUCCGGAAUUUAGAAACACAGAGGCAAACACACAUAAGGGAAAAGAAAGAAGGCUUCACUGAUUGCAUCAUAACAUGAGCAUAUUUGCAAAAUAAACAGUUAUCAUCAUUUGCAAAUUAUUGUGGCUGUAAAAACUGCUCUGCCCUCAAGGAGGUUGAUACAAACCAAUAAAUUCUGCCCUUUGUUAUCUUGGUGAGAUAAUUUUUUUUUAAGUUUAUGGCUACUCUACGUAUUUUACCUGCUGCAUUUUUUUGUUGGUGGAGUUUGGAUUUAAAUGUAUUUUUAGAGCAUCCUAAAUACAAAUAAUCUGAUUUUUCAUAAAGGCCUCAAAAUAAUAUGUAACUCAACAUAGAACCGUUAGAGAUUUAACACCUUCCCUAUAGAGAUUAGUAAGAUAUUAAAAUUAUUAAGAUGUUAAAAUUAAAAGAUAGUCAAAACCACAGCCACGAGUCUGAAUUUAAAUCUUGUUUUCCACUGCUGAUGCUGCAGCAGAAGAGAAAAAUUGGUCAUUAAUUAAAACAUUGAUGGGCCUUUGACAUAGGGCAUGUGGGGUCUUAAAAGAUACAGACCAAAAAUUAAAUUAAAGUUUAACGAAGGUGGUGAUUGCCCCUCUGGCGAAUUUUCCAAGGGAUGAGAAGAUCAUUGAAUAAGUCUGUUUCUAUACACAAAUGCAACUUGUUUAUUUUGACCCCAGUUCUUCGAAAUUGUCGACUCCACAAUUGAAAUAUGCUGUGUGUUCCAACAAGUACCCAGCAGCCGUAAUGACAGACCAGCCCAUCUGUGCUGCGAGAAUGUAUAAUUUCAGUCUAUAGUGGAAUUUAUAUAGAAGCGAUGAUGUGAAAAGUGCUUUGCGUGGUACUUUCUUCAAAAAAAAAAAAAAAAAAUACUGCCGAGAAGCACUGGGUGCCAUGGAGAAUGCUGAGAUUUUGGCCUGAUUUUUUUAAAAAGCAGAAUCCGUAGCAUAUUACUGAUUUUGAGGGUGGUGGGGGAGGGUCGAAUGUUAUCCAAGUUAAAAAACUAAGAUGCUAGUUGAUCACAUACAACGGUCCCAGGUACCGAAGGUGUACGUGGGACAGUGAAUUUUUCAUGCAUGUUAAAAACACUAGAUAAAUUUAAUUGCAAUGGCAAUACUAAUUUAGAAUGAAAAUGUUCCUUUAUGUGAAUUAACUGAUUUUUCUGCUACUUGCCCCUAUCUUGUCCAA
Molecule: long non-coding RNA, 2246 nt
Organism: Sapajus apella (tufted capuchin)
Lineage: Eukaryota; Metazoa; Chordata; Mammalia; Primates; Cebidae
Exons: 2
Source: RefSeq, a predicted model, not a curated record